This 465-nucleotide ribosomal RNA is filed under the name Vreelandella stevensii. Its description in RNAcentral is "partial 16S ribosomal RNA". It matches the Rfam family "Bacterial small subunit ribosomal RNA", at positions 338 to 795 of the family's 1533-position model. The record is from RNAcentral. Lineage: Bacteria; Pseudomonadati; Pseudomonadota; Gammaproteobacteria; Oceanospirillales; Halomonadaceae.
CCUACGGGAGGCUGCAGUGGGGAAUAUUGGACAAUGGGGGGAACCCUGAUCCAGCCAUGCCGCGUGUGUGAAGAAGGCCCUCGGGUUGUAAAGCACUUUCAGCGAGGAAGAACGCCUGGUGGUUAAUACCCAUCAGGAAAGACAUCACUCACAGAAGAAGCACCGGCUAACUCCGUGCCAGCAGCCGCGGUAAUACGGAGGGUGCGAGCGUUAAUCGGAAUUACUGGGCGUAAAGCGCGCGUAGGUGGCUUGAUAAGCCGGUUGUGAAAGCCCCGGGCUCAACCUGGGAACGGCAUCCGGAACUGUCAAGCUAGAGUGCAGGAGAGGAAGGUAGAAUUCCCGGUGUAGCGGUGAAAUGCGUAGAGAUCGGGAGGAAUAACAGUGGCGAAGGCGGCCUUCUGGACUGACACUGACACUGAGGUGCGAAAGCGUGGGUAGCAAACAGGAUUAGAUACCCUAGUAGUC